ACAUACGACCAUAGGACCUUGAGAAUUGGGCUUCCCGUCCGCUCAGCCUUACACAAGCAGGGUACCGGCGGAUUAGUACUCGGGUUCGUGAGAACCGUGGAAUCCCCGCUGUUGUAUGUU
Molecule: ribosomal RNA, 120 nt
Filed under: Paraphaeosphaeria sporulosa
Lineage: Eukaryota; Fungi; Ascomycota; Dothideomycetes; Pleosporales; Didymosphaeriaceae
Source: RNAcentral